This 406-nucleotide ribosomal RNA is filed under the name uncultured bacterium. RNAcentral describes it as "partial 16S ribosomal RNA". It matches the Rfam family "Bacterial small subunit ribosomal RNA", at positions 30 to 526 of the family's 1533-position model. The record is from RNAcentral.
AUUGAACGCUGGCGGCAGGCCUAACACAUGCAAGUCGAGCGAGCGGCGGACGGGUGAGUAAUGUCUGGGAAACUGCCUGAUGGAGGGGGAUAACUACUGGAAACGGUAGCUAAUACCGCAUACCAUCAGAGGUGCCCAGAUGGGAUUAGCUAGUAGGUGGGGUAACAGCUCACCUGGGCGACGAUCCCUAGCUGGUCUGAGAGGAUGACCAUCCAAUCUGGAACGUAGACAGGUUCAAGACUCCUACGGGAGGCAGCAGUGGGGAAUAUUGCACAAUGGGCGCAAGCCUGAUGCAGCCAUGCAGGGUGUAUGAAGAAGGCCUUCGGGUUGUAAAGUACUUUCAGCGGGGAGGCGUUACCCGCAGAAGAAGCACCGGCUAACUCCGUGCCAGCAGCCGCGGUAAUAC